This is a long non-coding RNA of Dromaius novaehollandiae (emu), 3630 nucleotides long. RefSeq lists it as uncharacterized. Lineage: Eukaryota; Metazoa; Chordata; Aves; Casuariiformes; Dromaiidae. The transcript has 2 exons. The record is from RefSeq and is a predicted model, not a curated record.
GCUUUUGUGUUUUCUUUCUGUACUUAAACUGAUACCUCUAUUAGCAUUCAUCUUAGAGUUAAGGACCCAAUAGACUUAGUUUCAUCCCACAUUAAAGGAAUAGAACUCUAGUUCUGCCACGGCAGGACAAGAAGACCAAACCAGACAUCCAAAGUACAUCAAAGUUGCUUGAUUGCAGACUGUGAGGGAUUCACUGUCCUUUUUACUUUUAUUGUUUAAUCCUUCAGGAACAAAUGAUGUUUAACACUGUUCAGAUAAAGAUUUUGCAGACUGGUGUGCAGGUAACUGUUUACUGCAGGAAAAAAUACAAAAUAAGAGAAGUCUGUUCAAAAUUCUCUGCCUUAAACUUCAUCUGCCAGUUACUCUUUUGUUAAGGCUCAUGACUGCUGACUGUAUUCCUUGGCUUAUUAAGAUGAGAAUCUCCAGUUCCUGCUAGCAUGUUCCAGGCUAGUAACCAACCAUAUUGUCCAUUCCUUUGUGCUGCAAAGCACUCAGGAGACUGUGUUCCCAGAAGCCCAUUCUAAUAUCUUGGGUUUUAUUUUCUCUUUUCUAUUUCUGUUCUAUAAGGUAGUUUCCAGUGCUUCUCCUUGCAAAAAUGUGGGUAAAACUGUUCUUUGCUCUGGGCUGCAGCUACUUUCUAGUUUGGGAAAUUAGUUUCAACUCUGAAAAUGAAGCCUGCUCUUUAUGGAAGUGGUAUCUCUCUCCAUAGUCUGUAUAGUAUUCCUGUGCUGAAUUCAGUGCAUUUAAAUCCCCAAAUGCUCAAGUAUUCCUGCAUAUUUCACCUCUUCAGGGGUCUGAUGGGCCUGCCAGAUGGGUGAAGUAAGUAAAUCCAACCAUAGGCAGAUGCACAGAAGUAUUUGAUAAGUGAUAUGACAUAAGUAAUCAGGGCUAGCUAGUAGUUUGGCUUAUUUGUUGUUUCUUUUUUUUGUUCUCCUUUCUGCUUCUCAAAAUGAAGAAGACGGAAGGCCACCAUGGUCAACCAGCAGACCUCAGUUACUAAAAAAAAGUCACUGUGAAAGUGUUCAAGCAACUAGAUACUAUAUGCUUCUUUGUCCAAAUAUAUAGAUCACACAAGUAAGCUGUACUAGAUGUUACAAUGGAAAGUAAGAACCCCAAAAAGCUGAAAAAACAUUUAAAGAUCUCCCCUUUACUAACAAUAGACAACUGGAGGUCACCUAGAAGUGAGAACUACAUCACAGCUGUUGGUUUUACUAUAGAGUUGGAGUAUAUGUAAACUAAUGGGUAGAAUUUGAAAAUGCCUUUCAUUAAACUAAUUGUUAGUUUUGUCAGGAACGCUGUGGGAAGAUAAAGGUUGGAUUAUCCCUGUUCUACAAUUGUGUAGCUUUGUAUAUAUGUUGAUCUAGUCCUUAUCAUUUCAGUAUAUCAUUUCCCUGUUGAUCAAUAUACCUCUUAGACCGAUUUUUACUGCCUUUUGAAUCGAUGUGAAACAGACAGUUUUGAAAUUUAAUGAUCAUCAAUAAUAAUUUUUAAGAUGUAACGGUUACCAGGAUACUGGAAUCAGAGUACAUACAAAAAUGUGCGGUGUAAUAAUGGAAAAAAAUAUCAGAACAGAGAACAUGCUAUUACUAAGAACUGUGGCAUUUGGUAAUUCAUAAUGCAAGAAGCUAUUUUCAGGGUAGAUUUGGGUUGUUUGUUUGUUUUUUGGCUGAAACAGUGCCUGUAGCUUCCUGAUGACAACUUAAAACUUGGUAUUGGUUUGAGUCUGAGUUAUGCCGUAAAAGGGAAUUCAUUUAAAAUAGUUAUUUGAGAGAUGGUAGAUGAGCAAGGUUCAUUUUGUAGUUCAGCUUACUAUUGCAGUUGAGUCUGCAAAUAACAUCUGAAAAAAAGAAAUGUACGAAAUGAGCUGUCAUCAUUGAAGUUUUAUGCAUAAGGCAAUUAAGAGUUCAAAGGGGUUGCUUUCCUGGAAUGAAGAGGGCUCUACUUCUUAUUUUUAAGUUGAAUGGUGUGACACCGCCUGCACGCACACACUGAGUCUGCUAAGUUUUCUGUGAAUUAUUAGAUUCCUUAUAUCUGCUGCCUUUUGUAAAGUUCAAGAUUUUCUUUCAAACAAGAUCACCUGCAUUGGUAUGUAGGAUAUUACUGUUAUGGUUUAUCCACUUUCAUAAAGUACUGAAGUGAGCAGAACAGAAUCUCUAAAGCAUGUUCUUUUGUGAGAGUGUGUCUGAGCUGUUUUCCAACGUUUUCCAAGUCUGUCAGUUCCACAGUGAUUAUAUCACUUGUACUCACUUCAGGCUGUGGAAAAGUAGCAAAGGUAGUUCAUUCAUCUCUGCACCACUGAGAGUUAAUAGUGCAGUUUGUUCUCUGCAGGUUCAUUCCUUACAAAUGGAGGAUUUUUUUUCCUACUUCUCAAGGGAUUUUGUAGAAUUUCUACUGGAUGUUGCAUUGUCCUUUAUCCAUUACUUUGAUAUGGAACAGGUUCAGAGUUUAUUUUGACAUAUUACAAAGUUACUCAUUCAUAGAUGUAGCUAUGUUAGAGCAGUGAUGCCACCAAUUGAAAAAUAAUGUUCAAGAAACCAAUAAAAGAGUGCCAUGUUACUUUUUUAGAUUCUUAGAAGGAUUCAUUUAAAAUGAUUGAUUUCACUUUGCAAAUAUCUUGUUGCUUCUGAUUGAACUAGGUUCUGUGUAAAAUUGUGCUGUUGACUUUUAGUAUUAUACUAUAUCAUUUGUAAUAGAAACUUACAUACUAAUCUAUGAUUUUUAUUGAGUUUGCAAAAGUAUCUGUGUUUCAACAUGUCUACUCUUUGUCUCUGUCUAGCAUCUUCAGCAUUGUCAGUAGCUGUGGGAAUAGUUCUGAGAAUAGUUUGGCUUUGCAGCAGCAGUCUACCAAAGAGACAGAUCACACAUUGUAUCUUGGAUAUGCCCGCAGAGUCCUACUGAUGCAAAUGAGGGAGUAAAGCAUUAAUGGAGAUGCGGUAAUCUGGAUAUGACUUUGCAGCCAUAUCCAGACUUCACAAGCAUGAACCUGGGCCAGCGAAAAGAUUCUUCCUUAAGUGUUGCUUGAUUAAUAAACUUAUCUCUGGAUUAAAAUCUUUAAAUUAGCAAAAAGAAGUUGCAGAAAUUUGGGGCAGUUGGCCAGUCAAUAGAAGAUUCUUUCAUUUAGUUCUUCCCGUUUCCUCUGGUUGUGGGAUGAUGGAUUUUGUUUGUUUUGUUUUGUCAGAUGUUAUAUAAAGCAUGGUGUUUUCUAGGCAUCAAAGUUACCAUCCCAUUAUCUAGCUUCUUCUAAAUGUAAGUUACAUAUACUAUCUCCGCCUUUUCAUUGGAGAAAUUUCAUUUCUUUCUCUGAUGACAUUAGAUUUGUUUUUUUCCAACUGAGUAAGUGUCUGCUUCUCUUCCUUUAUCAUUCUCUCUAAAAUUCCUUUAAUUUUUCAUCUUAUGGUAGUCAGGAGUACACAGUGCUGCCCUAGGUAUUUUAAUUCUGAUCAAACUGUGCCUGCCAAAUGUAUUGCUUUUAUAUAUGGAGUCCAGUGUUGUAUUUAUCUCUUAGCUGCUCUUGCCCCAGCAAACCUGCAUUAGUUCUGGUCUGUAGAUCAUAUUCAGCAUCACUGGUUUCCAGAUUUCCUCUUUCACUAUGUAGCUAUAAAGCACAUUGUGAGGUGCUUUUUUUUUUUU